UAUAUAUGCAAGUCGAGCGGACUUGUUAGAAGCUUGCUUCUAACAAGUUAGCGGCGGACGGGUGAGUAACACGUGGGUAACCUGCCUGUAAGAUGGGGAUAACUCCGGGAAACCGGAGCUAAUACCGAAUAACACUUUCGCUCGCAUGAGCGGAUGUUAAAAGACGGUUUCGGCUGUCACUUACAGAUGGACCCGCGGCGCAUUAGCUAGUUGGUGAGGUAACGGCUCACCAAGGCGACGAUGCGUAGCCGACCUGAGAGGGUGAUCGGCCACACUGGGACUGAGACACGGCCCAGACUCCUACGGGAGGCAGCAGUAGGGAAUCUUCCGCAAUGGACGAAAGUCUGACGGAGCAACGCCGCGUGAGUGAUGAAGGUUUUCGGAUCGUAAAACUCUGUUGUUAGGGAAGAACAAGUAUGAGAGUAACUGCUCGUACCCUUGACGGUACCUAACCAGAAAGCCACGGCUAAACUACGUGCCAGCAGCCGCGGUAAUACGUAGGUGGCAAGCGUUGUCCGGAAUUAUUGGGCGUAAAGCGCGCGCAGGCGGUUCCUUAAGUCUGAUGUGAAAGCCCACGGCUCAACCGUGGAGGGUCAUUGGAAACUGGGGAACUUGAGUGCAGAAGAGGAAAGCGGAAUUCCACGUGUAGCGGUGAAAUGCGUAGAGAUGUGGAGGAACACCAGUGGCGAAGGCGGCUUUCUGGUCUGUAACUGACGCUGAGGCGCGAAAGCGUGGGGAGCAAACAGGAUUAG
This 752-nucleotide ribosomal RNA is filed under the name Priestia koreensis. Its description in RNAcentral is "bacterial SSU rRNA". It matches the Rfam family "Bacterial small subunit ribosomal RNA", at positions 50 to 781 of the family's 1533-position model. Lineage: Bacteria; Bacillati; Bacillota; Bacilli; Caryophanales; Bacillaceae. The record is from RNAcentral.